Molecule: ribosomal RNA, 253 nt
Filed under: uncultured bacterium
Lineage: Bacteria
Description: partial 16S ribosomal RNA
Rfam family: Bacterial small subunit ribosomal RNA
Source: RNAcentral
UACGGAGGGUGCAAGCGUUACUCGGAAUCACUGGGCGUAAAGGGCGCGUAGGCGGCCUAGCAAGUCUGGUGUGAAAGCCCAGGGCUCAACCCUGGAAGGGCACUGGAAACUGUUAGGCUUGAGUUCCGGAGAGGAGGGGGGAAGUCCCGGUGUAGCGGUGAAAUGUGUAGAUAUCGGGAGGAAUACCGGUGGCGAAGGCGCCCCUUUGGCCGGAAACUGACGCUGAGGCGCGAAAGCGUGGGGAGCAAACAGG